Molecule: ribosomal RNA, 492 nt
Filed under: uncultured bacterium
Lineage: Bacteria
Description: partial 16S ribosomal RNA
Rfam family: Bacterial small subunit ribosomal RNA
Source: RNAcentral
AGUGAACGCUGGCGGUAGGCCUAACACAUGCAAGUCGAACGGCAGCACAGUAAGAGCUUGCGCUUACGGGUGGCGAGUGGCGGACGGGUCCGGAGUACAUCGGAAUCUACUUUUUCGUGGGGGAUAACGUAGGGGAACUUACGCUAAUACCGCAGACGACCUACGGGUGAAAGCAUCGGAUCUUCGGACAUUGGGUGAGUGAAUGAGCGGAUGUCGGAUUAGCUAGUUGGCGGGGUAAAGGCCCACCAAGGCGACGAUCCGUAGCUGGUCUGAGAGGAUGAUCAGCCACACUGGAACUGAGACACGGUCCAGACUCCUACGGGAGGCAGCAGUGGGGAAUAUUGGACAAUGGGCGCAAGCCUGAUCCAGCCAUACCGCGUGGGUGAAGAAGGCCUUCGGGUUGUAAAGCACUUUUGUUGGGAAAGAAAAGCAGCAGGUUAAUACCCCGCUGUUCUGACGGUACCCAAAGAAUAAGCACCGGCUAACUUCGUG